AGGCCGAUGAGGAAAACAAUUACAAAAAGAACACCAUCUUUCGGGACUGAAUGGCUUCAUAAAGCCCUGCUGUUAUUCUGCAGUUCUGAGGCCC
Molecule: small nucleolar RNA, 94 nt
Organism: Hibiscus syriacus
Lineage: Eukaryota; Viridiplantae; Streptophyta; Magnoliopsida; Malvales; Malvaceae
Product: small nucleolar RNA SNORD96 family
Exons: 1
Source: RefSeq, a predicted model, not a curated record